RNAcentral lists this ribosomal RNA (219 nucleotides) under uncultured bacterium. Its description in RNAcentral is "partial 16S ribosomal RNA". It matches the Rfam family "Bacterial small subunit ribosomal RNA", at positions 524 to 776 of the family's 1533-position model. The record is from RNAcentral.
UACGUAGAAGGCUAGUGUUAGUUAUCUUUAUUGGGUUAAAGGGUAUGUAGACGGUAAAUUAAACUCUAAAAGAGUACUUUUUACUAGAGUUAUAUGUGAGAAGGAAGAAUUCCUGGAGUAGAGAUAAAAUUUUUUGAUACCAGGGGGACUGUCAACGGCGAAGGCGUCCUUCUAUGUAAUAACUGACGUUGAGAUACGAAGGCUUGGGUAGCAAACAGG